RNAcentral lists this ribosomal RNA (497 nucleotides) under uncultured bacterium. Its description in RNAcentral is "partial 16S ribosomal RNA". It matches the Rfam family "Bacterial small subunit ribosomal RNA", at positions 28 to 507 of the family's 1533-position model. The record is from RNAcentral.
GACGAACGCUGGCGGCGUGCCUAAUACAUGCAAGUUGAGCGCUGAAGGUUGGUACUUGUACCAACUGGAUGAGCAGCGAACGGGUGAGUAACGCGUGGGUAAUCUGCCUUUGAGCGGGGGACAACAUUUGGAAACGAAUGCUAAUACCGCAUAAAAACUUUAAACACAAGUUUUAAGUUUGAAAGAUGCAAUUGCAUCACUCAAAGAUGAUCCCGCGUUGUAUUAGCUAGUUGGUGAGGUAAACGCUCACCAAGGCGAAGAUACAUAGCCGACCUGAGAGGGGGAUCGGCCAACUUGGGAAUGAGACCAGGCCCAAACUCCUACGGGAGGGAGCCGUAGGGAAUCUUACGCAAAGGACGAAAGUCUGAACGAGCAACGCCGCGUGAGGGAAUAAGGUUCUCGGAUCGUAAAACUCCGUUGGUAGGGAAGAAAGUUGGUGAGAGUGGAAAGCUCAUCAAGUGACGGUAACUACUCAGAAAGGGACGGCUAACUACGUG